UCACCUGAACAGGGGAGUACCCCUCAGGGAGAACAGCAGCCUAAACUAUCAUAUUUUCCAGUUUAUCAGAUGCUGGAUUAAAGGAAUUUCACUGUUGUAUCAAUCAAGUGAUGGAAACACACCAGUCUAGCCUGAACUCCCUUUGAAUAGUGAUUUGUGCCCGUGUAAAGACCACGACAUUAUGAAAAGGAUAGUAUCGGAAUAUGUCUCGGGCCACUUUCACACAGGGGGGGAGAUUUAUCAGAACUGGUGUAACGGAAAAUUGGCUUAGUUGUCCAAAGCAACCAAUCAGAUUCCACCUUUCAUUUUUUAGAGCUCCAUUGUAAAAUGAAAGGUGGAAUCUGAUUGGUUGCUAUAGGCAACUAAGUCAGUUUUCCUUUAAACCAGCUUUGAUAAAUCUCCCCCAAUCAGUGUUGCUGUGCAACUCAAAAACCAGAAGUGGACCUUCAGAGAAAAAAUGUAAAGAAGAGACAUGUACCUCUUCCAUUUUCUUGACCCACUCCCUCCUGGUUUUUACUUACAAACACAAAAUACUGAGGGGCAUUUGUUUUUGGCGUAAAAAUUGUUGCACGCCCCUUUUUGGGGACUUUUUUUAUGCUGCAUCUGACAC
Bufo bufo (common toad) is the source of this 610-nucleotide long non-coding RNA. RefSeq lists it as uncharacterized. The record is from RefSeq and is a predicted model, not a curated record. The transcript is spliced from 3 exons. Lineage: Eukaryota; Metazoa; Chordata; Amphibia; Anura; Bufonidae.